UACGGAGGGUGCAAGCAUUAAUCGGAUUUAUUGGGCGUAAAGGGCGCGUAGGCGGACGAACAAGUCAGAUGUGAAAUUCCGGAGCUCAACUUCGGAGCUGCAUUUGAAACUGUUCAUCUAAGAGGUAUGAAGGAGAAAAUGGAAUUCCACGUGUAGCGGUGAAAUGCGUAGAUAUGUGGAAGAACACCGGUGGCGAAAGCGGUUUUCUAUUUAUUACCUGACGCUGAGGCGCGAGAGCAAGGGGAGCAAACAGG
Molecule: ribosomal RNA, 254 nt
Filed under: uncultured bacterium
Lineage: Bacteria
Description: partial 16S ribosomal RNA
Rfam family: Bacterial small subunit ribosomal RNA
Source: RNAcentral